AAGAACAGGCGCCGGCCUCGGCGUCCGCCGCGCAGUUAGGAAACUGACUGUCGCUCUCUCCGGCCUCGGCGCUGCUUCGGACGCCCCGGCACCGGCCCCCGUUGCUUUGUAGCAUUCUGCAGCUGGGCUGCAGGCGCCGUGGGCCUCCGCCAGUUGUGUUCGAGACGCGGUUCGGCCACAGAAGUUUUAGCUUGUGACUUUUGGCAAGUCAGUGGCCCUCUCUGGGCCUCAGGUGCCUUUUUUGCUGUGAGACCAGCGACUGUAUUUUUAACCCUGAUUUUAUCCCUAGAUCUACCCAACACAUAGUAGGUGCUCAAAAGAUAUUUAUGAGUGAAUGAAUGCAUCAUGAGAAGAAAUUGGACCAGAUGAGGCCCUGUGAAGCUGCUUGGGUCUUUUUUUGUUCUUUUUUUUUUCUCUCUUCUGAGUGUCCCUGGCCUGGACUAGAAAUUCUCCAUCCUUCGGCCUUCUGCGAGACUGCAGGAACAUUACUUUUGAAGGAUGCUAAGGAAUCCGAGGGAUGAAAAAAAUCAAGAGAUUGCAAUGAUGUCACAAAACAAGGAAACAAGUGCAGCAUCUUCACUCCGAAGCAGAAAUUUGCCAAAAAAGCAUCCUCUUUUUAUCAGAAAAUAAAAUAUCCUGGUUUCUUA
RNAcentral lists this long non-coding RNA (647 nucleotides) under Homo sapiens (human). Its description in RNAcentral is "non-protein coding lnc-AHSP-5:2". Lineage: Eukaryota; Metazoa; Chordata; Mammalia; Primates; Hominidae. The record is from RNAcentral.